This 253-nucleotide ribosomal RNA is filed under the name uncultured bacterium. RNAcentral's name for it is "partial 16S ribosomal RNA". It matches the Rfam family "Bacterial small subunit ribosomal RNA", at positions 524 to 776 of the family's 1533-position model. The record is from RNAcentral.
UACGUAGGGGGCAAGCGUUGUCCGGAAUCAUUGGGCGUAAAGAGCGCGUAGGCGGCCCGGUAAGUCCGCUGUGAAAGUCAAGGGCUCAACCCUUGAAUGCCGGUGGAUACUGUCGAGCUAGAGUCCGGAAGAGGCGAGUGGAAUUCCUGGUGUAGCGGUGAAAUGCGCAGAUAUCAGGAGGAACACCAAUGGCGAAGGCAGCUCGCUGGGACGGUACUGACGCUGAGGCGCGAAAGCGUGGGGAGCAAACAGG